AGUGAACGCUGGCGGUAGGCCUAACACAUGCAAGUCGAACGGCAGCACAGUAAGAGCUUGCUCUUACGGGUGGCGAGUGGCGGACGGGUGAGGAAUACAUCGGAAUCUACUUUUUCGUGGGGGAUAACGUAGGGAAACUUACGCUAAUACCACAUACGACCUACGGGUGAAAGCAGGGGAUCUUCGGACCUUGCGCGAUUGAAUGAGCCGAUGUCGGAUUAGCUAGUUGGCGGGGUAAAGGCCCACCAAGGCGACGAUCCGUAGCUGGUCUGAGAGGAUGAUCAGCCACACUGGAACUGAGACACGGUCCAGACUCCUACGGGAGGCAGCAGUGGGGAAUAUUGGACAAUGGGCGCAAGCCUGAUCCAGCCAUACCGCGUGGGUGAAGAAGGCCUUCGGGUUGUAAAGCCCUUUUGUUGGGAAAGAAAAGCAGCAGGUUAAUACCCCGCUAUUCUGACGGUACCCAAAGAAUAAGCACCGGCUAACUUCGUG
This 492-nucleotide ribosomal RNA is filed under the name uncultured bacterium. Its description in RNAcentral is "partial 16S ribosomal RNA". It matches the Rfam family "Bacterial small subunit ribosomal RNA", at positions 29 to 507 of the family's 1533-position model. The record is from RNAcentral.